CCUACGGGCGGCUGCAGUGGGGAAUAUUGCACAAUGGGCGCAAGCCUGAUGCAGCCAUGCCGCGUGUGUGAAGAAGGCCUUCGGGUUGUGAAGCACUUUCGGCGGGGAGGAAGGCGGUGAGGUUAAUAACCUCAUCGAUUGACGUUACCCGCAGAAGAAGCACCGGCUAACUCCGUGCCAGCAGCCGCGGUAAUACGGAGGGUGCAAGCGUUAAUCGGAAUUACUGGGCGUAAAGCGCACGCAGGCGGUCUGUCAAGUCGGAUGUGAAAUCCCCGGGCUCAACCUGGGAACUGCAUUCGAAACUGGCAGGCUAGAGUCUUGUAGAGGGGGGUAGAAUUCCAGGUGUAGCGGUGAAAUGCGUAGAGAUCUGGAGGAAUACCGGUGGCGAAGGCGGCCCCCUGGACAAAGACUGACGCUCAGGUGCGAAAGCGUGGGGAGCAAACAGGAUUAGAUACCCUUGUAGUC
Molecule: ribosomal RNA, 465 nt
Filed under: uncultured Klebsiella sp.
Lineage: Bacteria; Pseudomonadati; Pseudomonadota; Gammaproteobacteria; Enterobacterales; Enterobacteriaceae
Description: bacterial SSU rRNA
Rfam family: Bacterial small subunit ribosomal RNA
Source: RNAcentral